RNAcentral lists this ribosomal RNA (253 nucleotides) under uncultured bacterium. RNAcentral describes it as "partial 16S ribosomal RNA". It matches the Rfam family "Bacterial small subunit ribosomal RNA", at positions 524 to 776 of the family's 1533-position model. The record is from RNAcentral.
UACGGAGGGGGCUAGCGUUGUUCGGAAUUACUGGGCGUAAAGCGCACGUAGGCGGCUUUGCAAGUUAGAGGUGAAAGCCCGGGGCUCAACUCCGGAAUUGCCUUUAAGACUGCAUCGCUUGAAUCCGGGAGAGGUGAGUGGAAUUCCGAGUGUAGAGGUGAAAUUCGUAGAUAUUCGGAAGAACACCAGUGGCGAAGGCUGCUCACUGGACCGGUAUUGACGCUGAGGUGCGAAAGCGUGGGGAGCAAACAGG